CGUGCAGGCGGUCUGUUAAGUCUAGGGUGAAAGCUCCCGGCUCAACUGGGAGAGGUCCUUGGAUACUGGCGGACUUGAGGGAGGCAGAGGAAAGUGGAAUUCCCGGUGUAGUGGUGAUAUGCGUAGAUAUCGGGAGGAACACCAGUGGCGAAGGCGGCUUUCUGGGCCUUACCUGACGCUGAGACGCGAAAGCGUGGGGAGCGAACCGGAUUAGAUACCCGGGUAGUCCACGCCGUAAACUAUGGACACUAGGUGUGGGGGGUAUCGACCCCUCCGUGCCGAAGCUAACGCAUUAAGUGUCCCGCCUGGGGAGUACGGCCGCAAGGCUAAA
RNAcentral lists this ribosomal RNA (331 nucleotides) under uncultured bacterium. RNAcentral describes it as "bacterial SSU rRNA". It matches the Rfam family "Bacterial small subunit ribosomal RNA", at positions 568 to 898 of the family's 1533-position model. The record is from RNAcentral.